Molecule: ribosomal RNA, 301 nt
Filed under: uncultured bacterium
Lineage: Bacteria
Description: partial 16S ribosomal RNA
Rfam family: Bacterial small subunit ribosomal RNA
Source: RNAcentral
CAGCCGCCGCGGUAAUACAGAGGAUGCAAGCGUUAUCCGGAAUGAUUGGGCGUAAAGCGUCUGUAGGUGGCUUUUCAAGUCCGCCGUCAAAUCCCAGGGCUCAACCCUGGACAGGCGGUGGAAACUACCAAGCUGGAGUACGAUAGGGGCAGAGGGAAUUUCCAGUGGAGCGGUGAAAUGCGUUGAGAUCGGAAAGAACACCAACGGCGAAAGCACUCUGCUGGGACGACACUGACACUAAGAGACGAAAGCUAGGGGAGCAAAUGGGAUUAGAUACCCCAGUAGCCCUGUCUCUUAUACA